AAUAGAUACCCUGGUAGUCCACGCCGUAAACAAUGAGUGCUAAGUGUUAGAGGGUUUCCGCCCUUUAGUGCUGCAGCUAACGCAUUAAGCACUCCGCCUGGGGAGUACGGUCGCAAGACUGAAACUCAAAGGAAUUGACGGGGGGCCCGCACAAGCGGUGGAGCAUGUGGUUUAAUUCGAAGCAACGCGAAGAACCUUACCAGGUCUUGACAUCCUCUGACAACUCUAGAGAUAGAGCAUUCCCCUUCGGGGGACAGAGUGACAGGUGGUGCAUGGUUGUCGUCAGCUCGUGUCGUGAGAUGUUGGGUUAAGUCCCGCAACGAGCGCAACCCUUGAUCUUAGUUGCCAGCAUUCAGUUGGGCACUCUAAGGUGACUGCCGGUGACAAACCGGAGGAAGGUGGGGAUGACGUCAAAUCGUCAUGCCCCUUAUGACCUGGGCUACACACGUGCUACAAUGGAUGGUACAAAGGGCUGCAAGACCGCGAGGUCAAGCCAAUCCCAUAAAAACCAUUCUCAGUUCGGAUUGU
RNAcentral lists this ribosomal RNA (528 nucleotides) under uncultured bacterium. Its description in RNAcentral is "bacterial SSU rRNA". It matches the Rfam family "Bacterial small subunit ribosomal RNA", at positions 777 to 1301 of the family's 1533-position model. The record is from RNAcentral.